This is a small nuclear RNA of Capra hircus (goat), 101 nucleotides long. Lineage: Eukaryota; Metazoa; Chordata; Mammalia; Artiodactyla; Bovidae. The record is from Ensembl.
GUGCUUGCUUCCAAGCACAUAUACUAAAAUUGGAGGGAUACAGGGAAGAUUAGCAAGGCCCCUGCCCAAGAAUGCAAAUUCAUAAAGCAUUCCAUAUUUUU